UACAGAGGGUGCAAGCGUUGUUCGGAAUUACUGGGCGUAAAGCGCGUGUAGGCUGUUUUGUAAGUCAGACGUGAAAUCCCUGGGCUUAACCCAGGAACUGCGUUUGAAACUGCAUGACUCGAGUGUCGGAGGGGAUGGCGGAAUUCCCGGUGUAGAGGUGAAAUUCGUAGAGAUCGGGAGGAACACCUGUGGCGAAGGCGGCCAUCUGGAAGACAACUGACGCUGAGACGCGAAAGCGUGGGGAGCAAACAGG
This 253-nucleotide ribosomal RNA is filed under the name uncultured bacterium. Its description in RNAcentral is "partial 16S ribosomal RNA". It matches the Rfam family "Bacterial small subunit ribosomal RNA", at positions 524 to 776 of the family's 1533-position model. The record is from RNAcentral.